RNAcentral lists this ribosomal RNA (206 nucleotides) under uncultured bacterium. RNAcentral describes it as "partial 16S ribosomal RNA". It matches the Rfam family "Bacterial small subunit ribosomal RNA", at positions 1297 to 1500 of the family's 1533-position model. The record is from RNAcentral.
ACUGGAGUCUGCAACCCGACUCCACGAAGCUGGAUUCGCUAGUAAUCGCGCAUCAGCCACGGCGCGGUGAAUGCGUUCCCGGGCCUUGUACACACCGCCCGUCAAGUCAUGAAAGUGGGCAGCACCCGAAGACGGUGGCCUAACCCUUGUGGGGGGAGCCGUCUAAGGUGAGGCUCGUGAUUGGGACUAAGUCGUAACAAGGUAAC